AUGAUGGAGGAGGCGAGCACCUCGGCGUCCGGUGGGGCCGCGGGGAACGGCGGGCAGCGCGCGUUCCCGCCGGCGAGAUCGGGAGUGUUCUAUAGGUUCACCCAACAAAACCUCCCAGCUUGGAAACCGGCAAUGACGCCAGGAUGUGUGAUAACAAUUUUCUUGAUGAUUGGGGUUACUUUUGUACCUGUUGGGCUUGUUUGUCUUCAUGCUUCAAAUCAUGUUGCAGAAAUUGCUCACCGUUAUGAUAUAGAUUGUGUACCUAAUGCUUACAAAAGAAACAAGCAAGCCUAUAUUAAGGACAGCUCGAUUUCAAAGAACUGUACGCAACAAGUGAAGGUUAAUUACCAUAUGAGAGCGCCAAUUUAUGUGUAUUAUGAACUUGAGAACUUUUACCAGAAUCAUCGCAGGUAUGUCAAAAGUAGAAGUGAUAAGCAACUACAUUAUGGUCAGAAGUACACACAUAGUUCAUGUGGUCCUAUUGAAAGGAAUAAUGGCCUUCCAAUUGUUCCAUGUGGCUUGAUUGCCUGGAGCUUGUUCAAUGAUACUUAUGGAUUUACACGUGGAUCCAUGGAAAUAAAGGUUAACAGGAAAAAUAUUUCAUGGAAAAGUGACCGUGAGCAUAAAUUUGGCAAGGAUGUCUAUCCUUUUAAUUUUCAGAAUGGAUCCUUAAUUGGGGGAGGAAAACUUGACCCUGAUUUACCACUGAGUGAGCAGGAAGAUCUUAUAGUGUGGAUGCGAACUUCUGCUCUUCCCCAAUUUCGAAAGCUCUAUGGUGUCAUUGAAGAGGAUCUACAAGCUGAUGAAAUCAUUACUAUGCACAUAGCAAACAAUUACAAUACGUACAGUUUUGGUGGCAAGAAAAGCCUAAUUCUUACAACAUCAACCUGGCUAGGUGGCAAGAAUGACUUCCUUGGAUAUGCAUAUCUUGUCACUGGUUCCUUGAGCCUUUUCUUAACCAUUCUCUUUGCUCUGAUUCAUGUGAAAAAUCCAAGGCCACAAGGUGAUGCCGGUUACCUAUCAUGGAAUAGGCCAAACAGUAAUAGCUAAGCUGUGUACAUAACUGUAUGUGCAAGCUACUACUGGCUAUAACUUAUUUCCAUCGUCCAAUCUAACCAUUGUGAAGAAAAUUGCUGGGCUGGAUUUCCAGAGACUGACAAGUUCAAUUUAGCAAUUAUGCCGCUCGAGAAAGUUGGUGAUCCUGCCAUCUGUGGAAUCGUCAAGGUUACAUGUCGCUGGUGCAGAUGCAUAAAUCGGUGAUACCAACGUCUCAACUGGUUCAUUCGUUGAAGACAUGAUGCUCUAUUUUUGAACUAACUUGCUGCUCAGAUGACGAGCUGUUACAAUCUCUUAAGUCCUAACUCCAGUAACCUUGUUCAUAUGACCUUCACAUGUGAACAAAUAUGCUGUACUGAUUCAUAGCUGAUUUGACAGACAACUUUGCGUUAGUCAUGAUAAGUAGAAAUCUGUCAUGCUCCAGCAACCUUUUCAGCUGCUGUAUUUCAAAAGCUACAACUAUUUCAUUGUCUCCACUUAUUCCUAAUGGUUAUGACUGUCUAUAUUAGUAGCAUCAU
RNA transcript from Oryza brachyantha (malo sina), 1574 nucleotides. It is a transcript of the gene named putative ALA-interacting subunit 2, with no coding region annotated. Lineage: Eukaryota; Viridiplantae; Streptophyta; Magnoliopsida; Poales; Poaceae. The transcript has 10 exons. The record is from RefSeq and is a predicted model, not a curated record.